UUAACAUAGGUGAACCUGCGGUAGGAUCAUU
RNAcentral lists this ribosomal RNA (31 nucleotides) under Sciadopitys verticillata. Its description in RNAcentral is "partial nuclear 18S ribosomal RNA". The record is from RNAcentral. Lineage: Eukaryota; Viridiplantae; Streptophyta; Pinopsida; Cupressales; Sciadopityaceae.